RNAcentral lists this ribosomal RNA (229 nucleotides) under uncultured bacterium. Its description in RNAcentral is "partial 16S ribosomal RNA". It matches the Rfam family "Bacterial small subunit ribosomal RNA", at positions 568 to 796 of the family's 1533-position model. The record is from RNAcentral.
CGCGCAGGUGGUUUAUUAAGUCUGGUGUGAAAGCCCAGGGCUCAACCCUGGAACUGCAUUGGAAACUAGUAGACUUGAGUCCAAGAGGGGUCAGUGGAAUUCCUGGUGUAGGGGUGAAAUCCGUAGAGAUCAGGAGGAACACCGGUGGCGAAGGCGACUGACUGGAUUGGAACUGACACUGAGGCGCGAAAGUGUGGGGAGCAAACAGGAUUAGAUACCCUGGUAGUCC